Molecule: ribosomal RNA, 253 nt
Filed under: uncultured bacterium
Lineage: Bacteria
Description: partial 16S ribosomal RNA
Rfam family: Bacterial small subunit ribosomal RNA
Source: RNAcentral
UACAGAGGUCCCGAGCGUUGUUCGGAUUCACUGGGCGUAAAGGGUGCGUAGGUGGUGAGGUAAGUCGGAUGUGAAAGCUCCAAGCUCAACUUGGAAAUGGCAUUGGAAACUACCUUGCUAGAGGGUUUGAGGGGGGACUGGAAUACUUGGUGUAGCAGUGAAAUGCGUAGAUAUCGUUUGGAACGCCAAUGGUGAAAACAGACAGCUGGGAGUGUGCUGACGCUGAGACACGAAAGCCAGGGGAGCGAACGGG